UACGAAGGGUGCAAGCGUUGUUCGGAAUUACUGGGCGUAAAGGGUGCGUAGGCGGACAGAUUAGUUAGGAGUGAAAUCCCGGGGCUUAACCUCGGAACUGCUUCUAAAACGGCCUGUCUAGAGUGUGUCAGGGGAUAAUGGAAUACCCAGUGUAGAGGUUAAAUUCGUAGAUAUUGGGUAGAACACCAGUGGCGAAGGCGAUUAUCUGGGGCAUAACUGACGCUGAGGCACGAAAGCGUGGGGAUCAAAC
Molecule: ribosomal RNA, 250 nt
Filed under: uncultured prokaryote
Description: partial 16S ribosomal RNA
Rfam family: Bacterial small subunit ribosomal RNA
Source: RNAcentral